Mus musculus (house mouse) is the source of this 6374-nucleotide long non-coding RNA. RefSeq annotates it as predicted gene, 31835. The record is from RefSeq and is a predicted model, not a curated record. The transcript is spliced from 3 exons. NCBI's taxonomy places the organism in Eukaryota, Metazoa, Chordata, Mammalia, Rodentia, Muridae.
GAUCCUGUGAUUAUGAAAUCCUGUGAUUCUGGGAUCCUGUGAUUGUGAGAUCCUGCAAUCCAGAGAAACGGUGAACCUGCAAUCCUGGGGUUGUUAGAGAGCCUGGUAGUGGAGCUUACUCUGGGUGUUGUGGGACUGGCUGUGGAGUUCAUGCUCAAGGUCUGCUCAGCGCAUGGGCUCAGACUGGAAGGAACCUGUGCCACUGGUCAGGUGGAGUUCCUGGGUGCCUGAAUCCUGCUGUUCCCAGUAAAUUCCAGUGUUGUGUUGUUAGUUUUCUAUGACCCAGAAGUGCACUAUGGGACCAUCUUACCUCUGUCUUACUUUUCUACGUGGGAAUUGAGAACAGUAAGGCUUCUUCCAAACCUGCUUCUCUUGUUUGUAAUACCAUGGUUUUCAUCUCAUUGUUUGUCAGUCUAUAUUAGAGUUGAAAUUAUUAAGCAGCUUGCAGGGAAGUGAAGAGAGCAGGCAGUGAUGCAGCUGACCUGGAGGUCAGGCCCUCUGAAAGUGUGACCCUCUUUGGUCACCUCAGGAGCCUCAGUAAAGGCAGCUUUACAUGGCUCUGUCACCUCCACAAAGAGUUGUGGUCUGCUGUCAGGAUCUUCUGAAAGGGGUGAGAAAAAUGACACAGACAACAGGACUGAAAUUGACAAAUUAAGCUUCUGGACCAUCCAAACAUCAUGAAGCUGCUCCACAUCAGAAAAUGCAUCUUUAUGGUAAUAGAAUGUACAGCAGAAAGAGAUGUUUUGAGCCACAGAAGGUUGACAGUUUUCAGGAGGAGCAGGCUCAGCACAUCCACACACAGGUGUGUUCAGUUCACUAUGCCAUGAGAACACCAUUGCACACAGGGACAUGAAAUUGUAUGUAUUUGGACUGGCCAUCAAUGGUACCUCUGGGCAAUAGUUCAAGGGUGGUAGUGGUAUAGUGUGUGGUUUGGUGACACCAGAUUCCCAAUAUAUUGUGUGUGGAAUAGCACUGUUUUGUCAGGUAGUAUGGGAUGGGGUGAGCAACAGGACUUGAUCUACUACAGCCUUACUUUAACACCCUAAAUACAUUGUUACUUCAAGUACCUAAAGAACAAUUAACAUAUAGAUUUCUAGACAUCAGUCCUGGCUAGACAGCAGCUAUUUUGCUGUCUCAUAUACAAAGCCAGGUGCCAGAACCUGUUAGGCAUUCCCCUAACUACAUUGCCACCAGAAAUACAGGGACAGGCAUCAGGACUUGCUUGUCAUUCCAACCCCUGCCAUUAACCAACAUAUACUCUUAGAUUCACAUCUUGCAGGACACCUCCUGUCCUGGCAUAUACCCCAGGUGUAAUACACUGUUAAAUAGCACUUGUACUUGGAGGCACCAGGAAUUACUGUACAACCUCCCCAUUGCCUUGAAUACAUUCCCAAGUAUUGGGCCAUGCACUACUUCCCACCAAACACCACCCUGACUGCUGGGUAUUGAAGCAUGCUAAACAGGUCACCAACAUAUGCAUCACAUUAGAUCCGUGUAUCCGGUCCUGAUCCCUGACAAACCCUCAUAUUGACUGAUAGUCAUCAGGCCAUGAUGGAUACUCCCUGCCACUGUACCAUCAACUCACUGCUCUGUCCUGGGCCCUGCUUGACAGCCUCACAUUAACCACACACUAUACCACUACCACCCUUGAACUAUUGCCCAGAGGUACCUUUGAUGGCCAGUCCAAAUACAUACAAUUUCAUGUCCCUGUGUGCAAUGGUGUUCUCAUGUCCUUCUCGGUGUCAGGACCCUCUUAGACAUCAGCUCCAAUCUGCACCUACUACAACAAUAGUUAUCAGGCCUUGAUGGAGAUUCCUGUACCCCUUUCACAGACUAUAAUCUACUAUGUCAUAGGCCCUGCUGGAUAAACUUAGGACAUCAGUCUUGAUGGACAUCCCCUCAAGAGUCUGUUUGGGUACAAUGCCAACAUGCUGUCCCCUAUGCCAAGCUGUGUGGCACUGUCAAUGGAAUUUCUAGUAAUGUCAGAUAGCUAGCACUGUGUGUGGAUUGGUAUCCUCAGGGAAGGGGUAUUUAGGAAGGCCUAGACACCUGAAUGCUAUGUGGGAAGGUGGCUUUAGGUGUCCACCUUGCCUGAAUGGACAUCCUUGCCUGAAAAUAGCACUGUGUGUGUGGGCACCCAGCAUGGAGUAAAAGCAGUGUAUUUAGGGCUGUGGGAAAGGGGAAAGGCGAGUGAAACAGGACCUAGGGCCUAGCAGUUGUCUGUGAUAGUGGAAGGGAUGUCCUAGAGGGCUUCAAACCUCAGUGUAUGUCAUGUGGAUGGUGUAGAGUGUCCAGAAGGAUCUCAAAAUGGCACUAUAAGUGGGGCUGCAUCAGGAGACAAGCUGUAGGGCCUGAUAGCUUGCUUAUGCUUUUCAGAUAGCAGCAGGGAGUUGUUUUGUUCAGUAGCAUCUGUCAUCUGGUAUAGUAAGUGGUGUAGCCACUCUGGUGUGUUGUCCUUUGAGUCCUGACACCUUAAACAUUACAUGGGUUCUAAAUGAGUGUGUCCAACCCUGCCUGAAAAUUAUCAUUAUAUUUGGGGCAGCAGCAUGGGAGAGUGGAUAUUAUAAAUAUUAUAAACUUAUAGGUAGCAGGCAUUGCUGACACCUCCCUCACAGAUAUACCAUAUACAAUAGAAGCUAUCAACUCCAGCUGCAUAUAACUGGGUGGAUACAACCAUCCAUAACUCAGGACCUACUGGGCCCUACCCCACAUAAACUGGUAGAUUGCAAGUGCUGCUGGCAAGCACUUAGAUCCCUAUAUAUACUGUCAUAAAACAUAUGCUCAGGGAACCAAAUCCUCACUAUUGUGUAAUGGGUUUUUAUCCGACCCUGCUGGACACAUUCCCUCCCUGUACCCAUCACUCAUAAAGAUGCUGCUAUGUUUCAGUCUAUGCUGGUAAAUCCACUCUGCCUCACCCCACAUACAAUACUAAGUCUUAUACCCUGUGAGACCACCCUACCUCACAUACAUUGUAAGGAAUCAGACCCUGCUGUUCCUAACCUCCUGUGUUCACUGCUAAGGUUUAGUCUUGUUAGGAAUUCAACUACCAAACUCAAGGCACUCUGAAGAAUCAGGAGCCCCUCCUCCUGCCACCACUGUGCUUUGUAUAGUGUCAGGUCCUACUGUACCUAACCAAUACACAAAGUGUGGAGGGACAGGACCUAGGGAGGCAUGAUCCCCUUUUCCCAGUCAUUUCCAUCUGCAAACAUUGCACAUUUUCAAGCCAGGUUGGACACUGACCUGCUGUUUUCCCAUAGAAACUUCUAGGUAUCCAGCCUUUCCCCAGCUGCCCAGCUUGUCCCAUGCACACUAGUAUAUCAGAGCCUGUUGGUUUGCCUUGAUCCAUGUAGCGAACUCACAUCCUCUGCCAGCUCUCAGAGCACACUGGGCAUCCUGAUGCACACUUCCACCCUCUGCUACAUUACUGUUGUGUUUCAGGAGUUGUUAUGCAUUUUCUGACAAGCCUGCCAUCCUUCUUUUAUAGUUCAUUCCUAGCAGUAGUGGGGGGGGCAGCAGCAUGGUAUAAUAGCUAGCAGUGUGUGUGUGUGUGUGUGUGUGUGUGUGUGUGUGUGUGUGUGUGUAUGUGUGUGUGUGUUGCAUGUUUGCCUGCUGGUCCUCAUAUCUACUGGAUCAUGUUGGAAGAGGGUGUAUUUCAGACAUGAUUUUUGGGCAGUGGCAAGGUGCACCAUGUUCACAUACGUGCUUGUGCCUUCAAUCCUGAUGCUGUGAUUUCUAUUCAGUAAGGAGAAGCAAACUUGCUGUCAGACACAUUGAACACAUGGAAGAUGGUAGACCCUGCUGUCAUGUUUUAGACAAUGUCCUAGAGAGUUAAGGUUGCAAGGAAUGAAUGCAGAUUUGGGUGUACUCCUGAUCUUCCUGUAAAGUUGGACAGUUCUGUGACCAAGUGGAGGGACCCAGUGUGGCUGGACUUGUCAGAAACUGAUCCAUCCUUCAUAAUUACUCAUGCAUGCUCAGAUUCUAGAGGAGGCCUUUGCCACGUCUUUUUGGCCAGGCCCACAUGGGUGAUGGCUUUUUCUGGCCCAGAAUACAUUUACAAGAGGGUUAGUAGAGGAUGCUGUUGAUACUGCUGAGGGCUACUCAGGACUGCAUCAGUGAGGUAUUUUAACCUUUCCAACAGUCUGUUUCCUGUGUCUCUCAAGAGAUGAAGGAGAAAAGGCCCAUCUCUGUGGGUGUUGAACCAUGGGAGCAGGGAGUAUUCUGACAAGGACUGAGAGGUUAAGGAAGGAGCCAGGCUCAAGCUUCAAGGGGACAUAUGCCUGACCACCCACCAGCCAACAAUGCAACUCUGGAUACAAGUGCCUGUGCCCUUCCUCCAGUUGCUGGAAUUUAGCUACUAGAUCUAUGCUCCAUCAGCUUCCAGGAGCUCCAACCAUGAUGUCCUGGUCAUGCUGGUCAAGAACGGUUCCCUCGUCCCAACCCCUGACUUGGGUUUGCAACAUGUUCUUGAACCUGGACCACCAGCACCAGAUGCUGUAACAAAAUUCCUGAACAGGACGCAAGAGUGGUUCAGCUGAGCCUUGAGAGGUGAUUGUACCAUGGCACCUGUCCCCUGGAUGGGACAACUUGAGGAAGGGCCAUCCAUAUUCCUGUUCCCUACCCAGGACACUGCUAAUGUGCAUAUGAGGAGAACACAAGACCCCAACCUGCUGCAGGAUGGAGAGCAGAGACAACUGAAGCCUUCUGCAUAACACUUGUGCAUUCCUUCUGCAGGCUUCAAAAGACUAAUCUGUGAUUUUAGACACAGGACAGGAGGAGACUGAGAGGUGAACGCUGGCCAAGCCUGCAUGUUCUCCCAGGGCAGUGACCUGCAAAUGAUGUUCCACUGACUAGAUUUUUGGAUAGUAAUUGUUGUAGUCCAAGAGACUCUUUGACAAGUCAAGAGUGUGGACAUCUGGAGCAUUCUGGGAACAUAAUUUUAAUAGUAAUAUAAUUUUCUAUAACCUGCAAGAGUUUAAUAGUUCUAGUUAUUUUAUUUAUGUAUGAUAUAUUUAGUUUUGUUUUAUGAGCUUGUUGGGAUUUUCAACAUAUAGAUUCACUUCGUUUAUGAAUGAAUAUUCUACUGGCAGUUUCAGUGGGAUGAACAGUUAAUCCUCUCUCCCUCCCUCCCUCCCUCCCUGGCUCCCUCGUUCUUUGCUCUCCUCUCACACAACCUCCUCCUUUUUCCAGUCCUCUGUGUUUCCAACCUCAGACUCCUGCAGUAGAGAUUACACUUAUUACCAUUUUUAUCUUGGCAUGGCAGCAAUGCCAACAUUCCCAAAACUAAGGAACCUAAGCUGGAGAAUUGUGGCACUAUUAGCCAACAUGUGCUGCAUUAAAAACAAAAGAAAAUGAAAGAACAAACAGACUUCUUUCCAAAACCAUGUUGUUUUUAAAGUUUACCAGCCCUGUCCUCUAAGGCACCUGGUUAUGGCUGUUCACUGAUGGGGUUAGGAUUGCAUUUUUCUUUUUGAUAUUUUGUUUCAUCCUCCAGCUCAUAUUUAUUACUCACUUCUUUCCUUUUUCUCUAUAGAUACUUUAUUGUAUCAUGUUAAUUGUUUUCCUGAUUUUGUGACCAUAGUUAAUAGAUGCUCUAAUGAUGUGCCCAAACCUAUUUCAGAUUAGUAGUAAUCUAGCUUUGAUAACAUAGAAAAACAGCUUCAGAACAGCUGUUUUCUUUCCUUCCUCUGGGCCCUAAAGGCUAUUUGUAUUACAUCUCUGAUGGAAAGCCAUCAACACAUUGUUUCAUUUCUUUAUAGGACAACAAGCCCUCUUGAGUCGUUUUAUUUCUACACAGACACUAUCACUCAUAUCUUUGACAUUUAUCUGUUUGAAUUUGAUUCACCAUCUGGUAAAAUGUCCUUACUCACUGGGAAUUUCCUUUCCCAUUGUGAAUGUAAGGCAGUCACAGCCCAUUCCUUUCUUUCUCCUUGGUGUGGGUCAAUCUGCCUGAAGCCUGCACAGCUGGACAAGGAGUCUGAUGCAGGUGUAUCUUUAAAGACUGAGAGUCUCCAGAUGUUCUUGUUCCCUGACUAUACUGAGUUCUUGUUGAUUCCUUCUAGGAAGUUGUAAAACCAUUCUGGCUCAUUUUGAGGGUUAAAAACCACUGGCUUAGACAAUUCACACCUGUAGCAUAAAGGCAGGGCAUUAAGUAGCCUUUGUGUCUUCUCUGCAGGAACCUCUCAGAUCUAACUCUCAGCCUGCUUUUGGAGUCCCAGGGGGAAAAAGGUGAUUUUAAUUUUUAUUUGCAAGUUCUAUGUCUACAAAUCCUCUGAAAAACCAUACCAUUUCAAAAAAGAAUUCUCUGUACAGUCUUUGUCCUUAGUACUUAUGUAUCUUUCAGAAUAUAUGAUAUAAAAAGAUCACCACAAAUUUAC